CCUACGGGAGGCUGCAGUGAGGAAUAUUGGUCAAUGGACGAGAGUCUGAACCAGCCAAGUAGCGUGAAGGAUGACUGCCCUAUGGGUUGUAAACUUCUUUUAUCUGGGAAUAAACUGUUCCACGUGUGGGAUUUUGUAUGUACCAUAUGAAUAAGGAUCGGCUAACUCCGUGCCAGCCGCCGCGGUUAUACGGAGGAUCCGAGCGUUAUCCGGAUUUAUUGGGUUUAAAGGGAGCGUAGGUGGAUUGUUAAGUCAGGUGUGAAAGUUUCAGGCUCAACCGUAAAAUUGCAGUUGAAACUGGCAGUCUUGAGUACAGGAGAGGUAGGCGGAAUGCGUGGUGUAGCGGUGAAAUGCUUAGAUAUCACGAAGAACGCCGAUUGCGAAGGCAGCUCACUGGACUGCAACUGACACUGAGGCUCGAAAGUGUGGGUAUCAAACAGGAUUAGAUACCCCUGUAGUC
This 460-nucleotide ribosomal RNA is filed under the name uncultured bacterium. Its description in RNAcentral is "partial 16S ribosomal RNA". It matches the Rfam family "Bacterial small subunit ribosomal RNA", at positions 338 to 795 of the family's 1533-position model. The record is from RNAcentral.